This 274-nucleotide ribosomal RNA is filed under the name uncultured bacterium. RNAcentral's name for it is "partial 16S ribosomal RNA". It matches the Rfam family "Archaeal small subunit ribosomal RNA", at positions 473 to 747 of the family's 1478-position model. The record is from RNAcentral.
AUACCCGCAGCCCGAGUGGUGGCCACUUUUAUUGGGCCUAAAGCGUCCGUAGCCGGCCCGGUAAAUGCCUGGGUGAAUCGUGGGGCCCAACCUCACGAAUUCCGGGCAGACUGCCGGGCUAGGGACCGGAGGAGGGAGAGGGUACUCCAGGGGUAGGGGUGAAAUCCUGUAAUCCCUGGAGGACCACCGGUGGCGAAGGCGCUCUCCUAGGACGGGUCCGACGGUGAGGGACGAAAGCCAGGGGAGCGAACCGGAUUAGAAACCCUAGUAGUCC